AAAUGCGAUAAGUAAUGUGAAUUGCAGAAUUCAGUGAAUCAUCGAAUCUUUGAACGCACCUUGCGCUCCUUGGUAUUCCUUGGAGCAUGCCUGUUUGAGUAUCAUGAAAUCUUCAAAGUAAAUCUUUUGUUAACUCAAUUGGUUUCUACUUUGGUAUUGGAGGUCUUUGCAGCUUCACACCUGCUCCUCUUUGUUCAUUAGCUGGAUCUCAGUGUUAUCCUUGGUUCCACUCGGCGUGAUAAGUUAUCUAUCGCUGAGGACACUGUAAAAGGUGGCCAAGGUAAAUGCAGAUGAACCGCUUCUAAUAGUCCAUUGACUUGGACAAUACUUUUAUGAUCUGAUCUCAAAUCAGGUAGGACUACCCGCUGAACUUAAGC
RNAcentral lists this unclassified non-coding RNA (377 nucleotides) under plant metagenome. RNAcentral describes it as "partial contains 5.8S ribosomal RNA, internal transcribed spacer 2, and large subunit ribosomal RNA". The stretch from base 1 to 104 matches the Rfam family "5.8S ribosomal RNA", at positions 51 to 154 of the family's 154-position model. The record is from RNAcentral.